GAUGAACGCUGGCGGCGUGCCUAAUACAUGCAAGUCGAGCGAACAGAUGAGGAGCUUGCCCUCCUGACGUUAGCGGCGGACGUGUGAGUAGCACGUGGAUAACCUACCUAUAAGACUGGGAUAACUUCGGGAAACCGGAGCUAAUACCGGAUAAUAUAUUGAACCGCAUGGUUCAAUAGUGAAAUGCGGUUUUGCUGUUACUUAUAGAUGGAUCCGCGCCGCAUUAACUAGGUGGUGAGGUAACGGAUUACCAAGGCAACGAUGCGAAGCCGCCCUGAGAGGGUGAUCGCCCACACUGGAAUGGGGAAACGGUCCAGCCUCCUACGGGAGGCAGCAUUAGGGAAUCUUCCGCAAUGGGCGAAGGCCUGACGGGGCACCGCCGCGUGAGUGAUGAAGGUCUUCGGAUCGUAAAACUCUGUUAUUAGGGAAGACGAAAUGUGUAAGUAACUAUGCACGUCUUGACGGUACCUAAUCAGAAAGCCACGGCUAACUACGUG
RNAcentral lists this ribosomal RNA (497 nucleotides) under uncultured bacterium. RNAcentral describes it as "partial 16S ribosomal RNA". It matches the Rfam family "Bacterial small subunit ribosomal RNA", at positions 28 to 507 of the family's 1533-position model. The record is from RNAcentral.